GACGAACGCUGGCGGCGUGCUUAACACAUGCAAGUCGAACGGAAAGGCCCUGCUUUUGUGGGGUGCUCGAGUGGCGAACGGGUGAGUAACACGUGAGUAACCUGCCCUUGACUUUGGGAUAACUUCAGGAAACUGGGGCUAAUACCGGAUAGGAGCUCCUGCUGCAUGGUGGGGGUUGGAAAGUUUCGGCGGUUGGGGAUGGACUCGCGGCUUAUCAGCUUGUUGGUGGGGUAGUGGCUUACCAAGGCUUUGACGGGUAGCCGGCCUGAGAGGGUGACCGGCCACAAUGGGACUGAGAUACGGCCCAGACGCCUACGGGAGGCAGCAGUGGGGAAUAUUGCACAAUGGGCGGAAGCCUGAUGCAGCAACGCCGCGUGCGGGAUGACGGCCUUCGGGUUGUAAACCGCUUUCGCCUGUGACGAAGCGUGAGUGACGGUAAUGGAUAAAGAAGCACCGGCUAACUACGUG
Molecule: ribosomal RNA, 468 nt
Filed under: uncultured bacterium
Lineage: Bacteria
Description: partial 16S ribosomal RNA
Rfam family: Bacterial small subunit ribosomal RNA
Source: RNAcentral